AUAUUGACAUUAGCCGUGUUAGCAAUCUAGUAUGAUAUGUAGAAGUCUGUGCUAUACAGGGUAAUUCAGAAAUAUUUAUCUAAACUUUAAGGGGAUACUUAAAAGCCCUAGUUUAUGCAACUGAAAUUGCAAAUGAAGAGACGGUUCAUCAACGCAUCAAAGAUGCCUGUGAAACCAUUUGCAAUCAUCAUGGGAUCUUUGAAAGGGUGUGACAGUCCAUGAUCCGAUGUGUCCAUGUGUGCACUGAAGCAGGUGGAGGACAUUAUGAAUAUUUAUUGUGAAUUGUAAGUAGAUAAAUAAUUGAACUGUGUGUGUGUGAAGAUAUAUUACAUUGGUCAUGUGUCAUUAUAGAUAUAUUCUGUCAGUUUUUGUCGUUGAAAUCUUUCAUUUAUAACUCAUAUACCAGACAUUACCGGACAUAUGUGUAUAUGGAUUUUUUUCUUGUAUAUGUAUGGAGAACUCACUCCUAAAGUUCGUAUAAGUAUUUCUGAAUCACUCUGCAUAUAACCCAAUAUAUUUUGUCCUCCUUUAUGGCUAUCUUUACAUCACCUUUAACAUUGUUGUUAGAGGUCCAUAAUAUAUAGAAAUCUAUGACAUUCAAUCAACAAUAAGUAAUUCCUUAAAAAAAAUGCAAUUAUAUUUAUCCGUGCAUUGCUAUAUUAAAAAAAAAAAAA
Molecule: long non-coding RNA, 674 nt
Organism: Formica exsecta
Lineage: Eukaryota; Metazoa; Arthropoda; Insecta; Hymenoptera; Formicidae
Exons: 2
Source: RefSeq, a predicted model, not a curated record